Molecule: unclassified non-coding RNA, 646 nt
Filed under: uncultured Prochlorococcus sp.
Lineage: Bacteria; Bacillati; Cyanobacteriota; Cyanophyceae; Synechococcales; Prochlorococcaceae
Description: partial 16S-23S ribosomal RNA intergenic spacer; may also contain 16S ribosomal RNA and 23S ribosomal RNA
Rfam family: tRNA (bases 305-377)
Source: RNAcentral
UUGUGGAGGAGGACGCCGAAGGUGGGGCUAAUGACUGGGGUGAAGUCGUAACAAGGUAGCCGUACCGGAAGGUGCGGCUGGAUCACCUCCUAACAGGGAGACAACAAAAUGUUUAUUAUUAUUAUUUUGUCACCUUAGGUCGAUCGGUAUCUCACAUUCUUCAUUCAUGGAGGAUUUCAUUUCCUAAGUUUUUCUAGGUCACACCCAUUAUUUUUCCUGGGCCAUUAGCUCAGGUGGUUAGAGCGCACCCCUGAUAAGGGUGAGGUCCCUGGUUCAAGUCCAGGAUGGCCCAUAUCUCUAUGUUGGGGGUAUAGCUCAGUUGGUAGAGCGCCUGCUUUGCAAGCAGGAUGUCAGCGGUUCGAGUCCGCUUACCUCCACUGAUUACCACCUCUUCCAUGUUUAUAUGGUAGGAAAUGUUUUGAGUUGUGAUCAAAUUCUGAACGAAUCUAGCUUCUUAAUUAAUUCAUUAAGAUGCUGGACUCAUUGAAUUAAAUUCAUUGUUUUCAGAGAACCUUGACAACUGCAUAGAUUAUUUUUAAAGACAAUAAGCAUCUUUAUUGAUGCAGAUUUAUUAUUUGUGCGAAUGCAUUAAUAACAAUUCUAUUAAGCUGAUGCUUCAAUUUUGAAGUUAUUGGUCAAGCUACAA